UCCCUAUUUCCUAGAUUACAACUAGAACUAACUAGAACUAGAACUAGAGGAACUAGAACUAGAACUAGAUGAACUAGAACUAGAUCUAGAUGAACUAGAGGUAGAACUAGAAGAACUAGAGGGAUCCUCUCUACUUGGAUGAAGAAUUGAAACCCUAACUUUGAUUCUGUAGAAGAGGUAUGAUCUCCUGGGGCCUGGGGCUCUGGUUUUAUAGUUCCUUCAAGUGAAUAUGGGUCGUUGGAUCAAACCGACAUUGAUUGAACGGUUAUCCUUGAUCCUUUAGGUCGGUGGAGCAUGAUCCGCGAGUUUGGACGUGAUUGGGUAGAACUCUAGGGCGGGCGCCCUCAGGACUUGGGCGGGCGCCCUGUCCCUGAGCCCUCUCGGCCUUCGCUUCGGUCCCGUGGCUUCUGGAGUCUUCUAGAUGAUAGAAAAUUGCAUGGCAUGUUAAUAUCUCUAUGUAAACCCGACGUGUGGGCCUUUCUUCCGUAUUUCCUGAUAACCCCCUGCAGAAAUAGACAAACACCAAAACUCGUGGAAUUCUGUCAGAUAAAACCCUAAGUCUAGGUGUUGGUUGCAUUUGGAUCCUUUUCCAUGAUUAAUUGAUGGUUAAAUAUGAGCAUUAAGGAUCGUCAACAGUAACAAGCUCGGACUCUGAUGAAGAACCAGUUAUUGGUUUGGCAGAAUGGGUGAAGAAUAAGAAGCCAAUGUCUUGCCCUUUUGGGCAUAAGGAGCCAAAAAAGUUUGCAUUUGAUAUCACCAAAGCCGAUAGGAUAUUUGACUUUCUGCUUCAGGAAGGGCAGAUCAAGUUGUCACCCAAUGAUGUGAUUCCAUCGGUAGAAGAAUUAAAGAAGAUUAAGUACUGCAAGUGGCAUAAUGCAACAUCCCACAGUACAAAUGAGUACAAAGUUUUCAGGCAACAGCUCCAAUCAGCUGAGAGAAGUGCAUCGGUAGAUCCUCAGCAUCAGAUCACCACCGAUGAUGCCAAAGGCAAAGGUUUAAUCCAGGAUGGAACUAGCUUAGGAAGGCCUCCCCGUUCUGGCAUUGUGAUUACUCAUAGAAGGCAUCGGGAGACCUGGCAGCAGCGUGAGGAUCGGUAUCGGCGCCAACAGGAGGAUCUCCGUCGGGAAGAAGAAAGACGCCGACAAGAGUGGAACCGGCAUAAGGAUCACUGGAAUUGCCCGUUCAUCAAGCUACCAACUGUUAGAGACUGCCCUGAGUGCAAUGGUUAUGAUCGGUAUGAUAGACCUAAUCGGCAGUAUCAGAACGAUGAUCGGUGUUUUAAUGGGCCAAUUAGGGGAAGAGCCUCAGUUCAUGAUCAGUUGGGGGCAGACUCAGUGUACAUGACAGACUUGGUGAGCGUGUCGAGUAUUUUCCCAGAAACCAAGAGGAGCUCGAGGAGAUGGUAGAUGCAUGAGUUCUCGAUGAGUUCAUAUUCUGCAGAGAUGCUAAUACUUAUCAGGUGGAAUCAAGGGAAAAUCGUCGCCAGUCGGUUAGACAACCACAACUUCCUUCAUGGUGUCCAGAGGGAUUAACUAGGACACAGAAAAAGAAGGCUGCAGCGGGAGCGACGAGAAGAGUUGAGUAGAGGGGAGAAUUAUACUAAGUCUGGAGAUCAGUAGCAGCAGGAUACUAAAGGAAAAGGGCCAUCGGCAAAUGUUAAUAUGGUGUUUAUGUUGCCGAUGGAGUUCCUUGCGCCUUUCAGUGAUGAUAAUGAGGUGGAUUGUCCCGAUGAGAUAGCCCAAUUGGCUCUAGAUCCGAUGACAGCUAUCUUUGAAAAGCUUGAUGAUAAUGAAAGACAACAUCUUAACGCUUUGUUUGUGAAAGGCAAAGUUGAUGGGCAGCCGAUGACCAAAAUACUUGUUGAUGGUGGGGCUGCUAUCAAUAUUAUGCCAUAUGCGGUCUAUCAGAAGCUUGGCAAAGGAGAUCAAGAUUUGACCAAGACCGAUAUGAUGUUAAAGGAUUUUGAAGGAAAUGUGUCUCCAGUCAAGGGAGCCAUAUGUGUUGAGUUGACCAUCGGCAACAAAACCUUGCCAACAACUUUCUUCGUCAUCAGUGGAAAGGGUGCUUAUAAUCUACUGUUGGGGAGAGAUUGGAUCCAUGCCAGUUGUUGCAUCCCAUCUACAAUGCACCAAUGUUUGGUUCAGUGGGUAGGUGACAAGAUUGAGAUUGUCCCAGGAGAUUCUUCAUAUGUCAUCGCAUCGACAGAGGCAGAUACUUAUGAAAGGACUAGAUGCAUUUCAGGGGAGAUUUGGGAAAAUGAUUUUCUCAAAGUUGCCGAUUAUGAAAUUCCACCGAUCCAAGCAGUCGGUUCUGAUGAAGAGUUUUAAUGGAUAGGUUCACCGAUGAUGGAAAAUUAGGCCAGGUGUUUACAUCGGCCAACGAUUUAGUAGAGGUAGAUAUAGGUAAUGGUGAUAGGCCAAGGCCUACUUUUAUUAAUGCUAAGUUGGAUUCUAAGUGUAAGCAGCAGUUAACUGAUUUGUUAAAGGAAUAUAAAGAUUGCUUUGCUUGGGAUUAUACCGAGAUGCCUGGUUCAGACCGAUCUAUUGUUGAACAUCGGUUACCUAUCAAAACUGGAUUUCGGCCGCAUCAACAGCUAGCUCACCGGUGCAAUCCUAAUAUUCUUCCUGAUAUUAAGGCCGAAAUAACCAAACUUAUCAAAGCUAAAUUUAUUCGGCAAUGUCGGUUUGUUGAUUGGAUUUCCAAUGUUGUUAUAUUUUACAAGAAGAAUGAGAAGCUUCGUGUCUGCAUUGAUUUUAGGAAUCUUAACAAUGCUACACCGAUGGAUGGUUUUCCAAUGAUAGUUGCCAAUUUGCUAGUUGAUGCUGCAGCUGGACAUUGGAUCAUUAGCUUUAUGGAUGGUAAUGCAGGGUAUAAUCAAAUAUUCAUGGCCGAAGAAGAUAUUCCAAAGACUGCAUUUAGAUGUCCUGGACAUGUCGGGUUGUUUGAAUGGAUAGUCAUGACCUUUGGCUUGAAAAAUGCUGGUGCUACUUAUCAGAGGGCUAUGAAUUUUAUCUUUCAUGAGUUCAUCGGCAAGCUGGUGGAAAUCUAUAUUGAUGAUGUGGUGGUUAAGUCAGGGAAUUUCAUAAAGCAUCUUGCCGAUCUGCGAAAGGUGUUGGAAUGCACAAGGAAACAUGGUUUGAAGAUGAAUCCUAAUAAAUGUGCAUUUGGUGUAUUGGCAGGGAAAUUUCUUGGUUUCAUGGUGCAUCAGAGAGGAAUUGAGAUUAGUAGGAGAUAUAUUGAUGCUAUCAACAAAAUAGUUGCUCCCACCAACAAAAUUGAACUCCAACCCCUGAUCGGUAAGAUAAAUUUUAUUAGACGAUUUAUAUCUAACUUGUUUGGUAAGAUUCGUGCUUUUAGUCCUGUACUUAAGUUAAAAGCCGAUCAAGAGUUUGUGUGGGGAAAAGAACAACAAUCGGCACUGGACGAAAUCAAGAAUUAUUUGACAAAUCCUCCAGUCUUGAUUCCACCUCAGCAAGGAAAGCCUUUCAAAUUGUAUUUGUCUACCGAUAGAAUGGUCGUUGGUUCAGCUUUGAUUUAGGAAAUUGAAGGGAAGGAACGUGUAAUUUAUUAUUUGAGUAGAAGACUGGUUGAUGCUGAGACAAGGUAUUCAACCAUUGAAAAGUUUUGUUUAUGCUUAUACUUUUCUUGUGUCAAAUUGAGGCACUAUCUGCUAUCGGCCGAAUGCACUAUUAUAUGCAAAGAUGAUGUAGUCCGUUAUAUGCUAUGUAUGCUGAUCAUAAAUGGUAGAAUCGGCAAAUGGAUUUUGGCACUGUCGGAGUUUGAUCUGCAUUAUGAAUCGGCUAAGGCAGUUAAGGGGCAGAUUAUGGCUGAUUUUGAGACUCAGCAUUGCGGUGUAGUAGGAACUUUGGAGAUCGUUCCUUGGACGCUCUUCUUUGAUGGAUCCAUGUGUGACCGGGGGGCAGGAAUCGGUAUAGUAUUAAUUUCUCCUCGAGGGAAGAAGUAUGAGUUCUCUUUGCUGAUUGUUGCCAUGUCAACGAACAAUUAGGCCAAAUAGCAAGCUCUGAUCAAAGGGUUGUAAUUAUUAAAAGAGGUUCAUGCAGAUGCUGUUGAGAUCUUCGACGAUGCUAUGGUUGUUAUAAAUCAACUGGCCGGGACUUAUGAAUGCCGAAGUGAAGUUUUGAUAACUUAUUAUGAAAAUAGCAUACAACUAUUAAGGGAAUUCAAGGAUUUCCGAUUAGAGCAUGUUCCUCGAUUACAAAAUGAGUUGGCUAAUCGGUUGGCUCAGCAUGCCUCGGGAUACCAACUGAUCUUAAAUUUGUUAUCGGCAAUCAGUGCUGAUGAUUGGAGGAAGGAGCUCAUUGAUUACUUAAAGGAUCCAUCUAAAAAGGUUGAGAGGCAUGUUAGGUUUUAGGCCGCCAAGUAUGUACUUCUUGGAGAAGAAUUAUAUUAUCGAAUGAUAGAUGGAGUUUUGCUCAAGUGCUUAGGUGAUGAUGGGGCUAGAAGCUUGAUGGGUGAAAUCCAUGAAGGAGUGUGUGGUGCGCAUCAGUCGGCCUUCAAAAUGAAGUGGAUGAUUAGGAGAAACGGGUAUUAUUGGCCGACUAUACUGGAGGAUUGCUUUAAAUAUUUCAAAGGAUGUCAAGGAUGUCAAAGAUUUGGCAAUAUUCAAAGAGCACCCGCAUCGGCUAUGAAUCCCAUUAUUAAGCUUGGCCGUUUCGGGGAUGAGCUAUUGAUCUAAUCGGCCAGAUUUAUCCUCCAUCAAGCAAGGGGCAUAAGUUCAUCCUAGUUGCCACUGACUAUUUUACUAAGUGGGUUGAAGCUAUUCCUUUGAAGAAAGUAACAUCGGCUAACAUGAUUGAUUUUGUGAAAGAGCAUAUUGUUUACUGAUUUGGUAUUCCUCAAACGAUCACUACCGAUCAGGGUACUAUGUUUAGAUCGGGAGAGUUUGAUGAAUUUGCAAUCGGUAUGGGGAUUAAAGUAUUGAAUUCUUCUCCUUAUUAUGCUCAAGUCAAUGGACAAGCCGAAGCAUCUAACAAAGGAAUUAUUAAGCUCAUCAAGCGAAAGAUUGAAGAGAAUCCUAGAAGGUGGCAUACAUUGUUGAGUGAGGCUUUGUGGUCAUAUCGAAUGGCAUGUCAUGGAUCGACCAAAGUUCCACCUUAUUAGUUAGUUUAUGGACACAAUGCGGUGUUGCCAUUGGAAAUUAAGACUGGAUCUAGGCAAAUCUCUUUUCAAGAUCAAUUGGCUGCCGAUGAUUAUGCUACUUUAAUGAAAGAUGAGUUGGAUGAUUUGGCGGAGCAUCGGUUGAGAGCUUUGAUAAGGAUAGAAGAAAAUAAAUGGAGAGUUGCUAGCUGGUAUGAUAAAAAGGUAAAUGUUAAGGAGUUUGCCGACGGAGAUUUGGUAUGGAAAUUGAUUUUACCGAUUGGGACUAAAAGUUCAAAGUUUGGAAAAUGGUCUCCCAAUUGGGAUGGUCCUUAUCGGGUAAAACGGUCUGCUCCCGGUAAUGCUUAUAUUUUGGAGACUCUCGAAGGAGUUGAAUUUCCCAAGGCAUUAAUUGGAAAAUAUCUAAAGAGGUAUUACCCAAGCAUAUGGGUUGAUGCAUAUGAGUUUAAGUGCAGAUAACACUCCUAUCGGCUGGAUGAAAUGUAUCUGGGGCAUAAUGUUUUCAAAAUUGCCGAUAACAGUCCUAUCGGCUAUACUGGAAUAAUCAGAAGUAUUAUAAGGACGGAACGAAACAAGUCACCGAUGAGGGGCUCACACGUUCAGCAGCGCUUGGAUGGCCGAUAUGGCGCAGGCGGAUUUGGUCGGCUUCCUCUAUCUCUCGGAUGUCUUCAUCGGCAGAACCCUCCACUGGCUUCAACUGCUUCUUCAUUUGCAGUGCCUUGCGGGCCUGGAUGUUUCGUUCUUGCUGUAGAGUCUUGAGCAUCUCAGGCUGUUGGCUUUCUUCUUGUUGAGCUUGGGUCAGGGCUUCUUCCACUUGUUUGAGCUCAGCCAGCAAAGCCUCCCUUUUUGCCGAUAGGAAGGAGAUCUUCUGCUUCAGUGUCUCCCCUGAGGACUGCAGGAUGCCGAUGCUCUUGUGUUUCUCAUCGGCAAGGCGUUUCACUUGCAUUACCUCCUCCGAAAGUUGGGCAUGGGUGGCUCUAUCAGCAAGACGAUGGGUAGCCUUUUGGUACUGGAGCUGACGGCUCUCCAAGUGUGCAGCUUGGAAAAGAAUCUCCUCCGCAUCGGCUGGAAUUAGGCCACAAAGAGUCUUGAACAGGGCUUUUGCCGGGUCGGAGUCAUCGACCAACUGAGUAGUGUCUUGGUGUAACAGGGCCAGUAGAUCCUCCAGUUUGGCUCUGACUUCUGCCGAUGAGAUCCCUAUUGCUUGGGAGGAGCUUGCUUCCUCACCCUCAUCAUCGGAAAUAUCAAUGGCGAAGGAAAAUAAGCUGUCCAGGGAGUCUUGUUCCUGAAAGAAAAUGAGAUAAGUUAUUUGAUGAUUAGAUAUUAGUAAUGUAAGGGAUGGAAAUCAGAUAACUUACUUGCUUUAAGGCUAUUUCACAUCUGUGGCUGGUUGAUGCCGCUGGUAACAUAGGUUGAUAGGCUAGAGUUGCCGAUGGAACAAUGUCAACUGAAGAAUGAUAAGGAUAAUUAUAAUUUGAAAGAAUAUAUUCAUCGGCGAUAAUUUUGUGACCAGUAUGUUACUUUGAGGAGGCGCGGUGCUUGUCUGUUCUGAAGGAACGACCGAUGUUAUGAUCAGAUCCGCUGGAUAGGCAGUCUGCUCAAGCACAUCGGCUGGUGCUUCUUGUGGUUGAGGUGCUGGUUGAGGAGGAGGUGCUGAUUGAGGGGGAGAUGGUGCUUGCUGUGUCUGGAUUUCUGGUGAAGAGGGGGACUAUGGAAUCGGCAAUACUGGAUGAGGAAGAGAAGGCGGUGCUGUCUUUUGGCGCUUUGGUUGCGACUUAGUGCUCUUGGGACCUUUUCUCUUGACUUGACAGGACUGGGGGGCAUCGGCACUUGUUUUGGUACUUCUAGUCUUUGCUGAUUUGCCAGCCUGAUGUUACAAUAAGCAAGAUUUCAUGAGUCCAAAUAUGAAAGAAUGUUGAUGAAUAUUUUGUUAAAAGAUAAAAAGUUACCGAUGAGGUUCCCAUAGCAGCCGAUGUAUCCUGAAAAGGUUGUGUGAGUAUAGAAUGGAAUCAGUAUAAAUUGAGGAAAUCAAAGAUUUACCUUGAAAGCUUGUGCCAAUGUAGCAGCGGCAACCGUUGGGGAUGUCUUUGAUCGCCUGGUGGUUAUUUUCUUAAAAUGCACGUUCCGGUGCAUUAGAGCUGCCAGGCUUGGUGCGUUGUUGCCGAUCAGAGAAAUUGGACCUGAUGGGAGGAGAUCAAUCGGCUUUCCACUUCUGCUGACUGUUGGUGGCGAGUUGUCGACUUGUUUUAAAAAGGAGAAGGUAAGUUACCGAUGAGAAUAAAAGCAACGAAAGAACUGAGGUAUCGGUUGAAGACUUACGACAUUAUCGGGGACCUUAUACUUGGGGUCGAUCAUGCCACGAUAUGUUAGAGCCAAUGUGCAGAACAAAUGUUCUUUCCACUCUUCCCACCAUUGUUUGUAUUCUUGAGUGAUGAAGAGAGCUGGGAUCCAGGCCGACAGAUCGAUGUCUAAUGUAUCGGCAUUUGGUUGAAGCUGGGCUAUCCUUAUCCAUUCAAGACCGCUGGUUAUAGUUUCCCUUGGCUUCACCACAUCGGCAUAACAUAGUCCAAUUGGCGACUACCCAAAAGCUAGUUGACGGGCUAGUGCCGAUGGAUUGUAGAAUUCAUAGGUGGCGUUGGAGUUCUUCCCACUGCCGAAGGUGUUCACUGGAAUGGCCCUUGGUGUGAUGAUUGCCAUCAUCAAAUUGGUAUCUUUAUUAAGAGCAUCAUCAAAAGGGUGGAAAGUGAGCGGGAAUCUGGUUUCUGGGUCCUCGUAAGGCAUCCAUGCCCGCUGAUCUUUAGCAAGACCCUCAUAGAGAGUUUGGAAGAAUCGGCUGACCUGGUCUUCAGUACCACCAGUACCAGGUAAGACUAUUGCUGCUUCACCGUAAUUCAAGGGUGAGCGAGUUGCUGAUUCUUCAUCAGUCAAUUCGUGAUCUUCAGCUAUAUCUCUUGGAAAGCGCUGUGUGAAGAGGUCAAAUCCAAGGCGUUUGUGCAUGUGGACACUAAGCCACAUGUUGAUGAACCACCAUGGACCUCCCAGUUGCCGAUGGGUUGGCCUAUCAGGAGUUUCUCAGCUACUUGAUGGAGAAGAUGAUAGGCAGAGCCAAGCAAAUAUCGGCCAAGAGGAAAUCGGCAGCCAUCGGCCAGUCUUUCUGCUGCCGAUAGGUAGACAGAAGUUGGUCCUACCGAUCGACCACAGAAAACGAAAUUGUCCAGCCACAUGUUCAGGAAGACGGCAUGCUCCCUCUUACUGAGUGGUCCUGUUUUCCGAUACUUCUGAAUGUAUCCUGACCAACCGCCGAUGUUGCGGGUUUCUACUGUGCGCUCAGGUUUGCGACCAUAUAAAUGAUUGUCAUCGGUAGUUGAUAUGUCUAAACCGGUGAGCAUGAGCACAUCGGCAAGAGUAGGAGAAGCAGGGCCAUGACCAAAUACAAAUGCAUUGAGGGUAUCAGACCAGAAGUAUGAAGCAGCUAUCAACAGCGAUUCAUUCCUCUCCAUAUCAGCAAUGGACAGCCUAAUGCAUUGAUCUAGUCUACGCUCACCCCAUUGAACUUCAUUCGAGUUACCGAUUCUCAGAAACCAGUCUUUCCACCCUUUAGUAGAACUAGGCCCAGAUCGAAAGGUAUCUUUCCACAGAUCUAAUGAAAAAUUCUGGGCUCUAAUGGGGAUCCUAUUUGUUUCUACGUUUAACAAAUCGGUGGGAUCUGGAUUCCCCAGUGGACCAAGGCAUUGAAAGUGGGGUUGAUCGGUAGGAAUUACAAUCUUAUCAACCAAUUCCUAAAAGGUUUGAAGGUUGAAAGAACAGGGAAAAAACAAAGAAGAGGAAAAACGUACUCAGUAAAUAUAAUUGCAGAGAUAUAGAAGUACAAUAAAAAAAGGAGAAGAAAGGGGAUGUUCAGUUGACCUCAGAAACGACGAAGUUGAUGGCCAUUUCUUCCCGAGAGGAAGGAAGAAUCGAAGACUCGGAAGAUGGUUGGAGGAGAUCCUUGCUAGAGUUCUUGAAGUUCUCGAACAUUGCUGCCACCAGAGAGGUGGGUUUGAGGAUGUAGAAUGACAAGAUGGAUGAAGAGUACCGAAAAAGGAAGUAUUUAUAGGACAAAGAGGGCAGGGGCAAAUCUGACUUAUCUCUUCGCCGUAUCCGAGAAAUCCUAGGGUGUUCAGGUGGAUAUGGUAACCGUUCGAACGGUGAUCAAGGGAUUGCGCAGGUGAUUUGACAACAAGCGGUCAUGGUUUCGGAGAUAUCUUACUGUGCAAUAUCUCCUGGUCGGCUCAUCGGCAGUUUUCUCCAACGGAAAUGUUGCCGAUGAACGUAUACUAGGGAAAUUCAGUUCCAAAAGUUGGGGAUUCGAGGUGCGCGCUGGAAGACCGGACUGAGGUUGUUUUGAUUUGGUAAUUAAUUGCUGAUAGGAAGGAGUAAUUGUGGAAAGGCAGCAUUAUCGGAGAGAAUUUUGGAGCAUUAAUGAUUUUAUACUCCAAAAUUGGGGGGCAUGUGUUGACACCAUUUUUGGACAUGUAUCUUUGGACGUGUAUCUGGAGUUGAUGAGGUGUAGAUUGGCAGGCAGAGAUGUGGUAACUAAUUUCACAAAAGAGUUGCGAUGAAGGUUGGUGCCAAUGAGAAAACGACAAGAUAUAGCCAUGUCCGGGAGCGAUGAUGGAUCCGUGCUGAUGACUGAUGCUGGUGGUUGCCGAUGACUGAUGUUGAUGGUUGUAGAUGGCUACAGAAGGUGAUUUGCCGAUGGAUAUGAAAGAAGGUACAAGGAUUGAUGAUCGGGUGGUGAUGGUGUGUCGAACGGUUGUGGGAGAUAAUUUAAUGCUUUCUAUAGUUGUUAGAGUUUGUUUUGUAUAUGGAUUCUGUUUAAUUUGGAAUUCGAGCCCUAGUCAUGUCUGGUUGUAACCCUUUUGGAUAGGGUAUUCUUAACAUCAUUACCAAAAGUAGACAAUUUUCUAAUUCUAGUAACGGUGCCAAAAAUGCCAAACCUAUCCCUCAUACCACUUAAGCCAAGUUGUCAUCCCCAGCAUGACAUGAGAGAUUCGGUAUUGAAAUAUGCAAUUGCUCUUCUAAAUAAAUAAUGAAUGGGAUCUGCAAGCGCACAGAUUAAUACCAAUGUAGCAUUUUAACCGGGAAGUAUUCCAGGUAUCGUUAUUUAUAUUUUUACCACUAGAAAGGGAUUAACAAUCAUCAACAUUGAUUACAGAAUAGAAUAUGAGAUUGAGUAUCUAUCAUUGCAUGUAUAAUUGAGAACAUUUAUCUAACUCUUUCAUACAGGGAUAAGUGUCACAUAAAAGAUAUAUGAAGUAAUGAAUAGUGACAAAGAUAAUUAAUCUGAUCAGCAUAACUAGCCACAUAAUAAAUAUGAUAAGCACCUCAAUUAGAUACUCUAGAAAGUCAUUAGCAUGGAAUUAGAACGAACUACAAGAAUAUUUCCUAAGUUAUUCUCAACUAUAUAGUCUAGCAUAUCAUAGUUAGUGCAAGCAUACUUAGCAAUCAUUGCGAGACAAGACUACGCCCAUGCAUAGUGAUAUUAGCAAGGUAAAUGAGAAACAUAGCAAUCAUUCCCCUGUAAUAAUAUUGCUCUGCGGGCCCAAUACACGAGAGGGGGACUAUAUAAGAAUCAAUGAAGCUGUCACUAUCACGAACUACCCCACGAUCUGGCAUAUUGGGUACAAUCGCAGAUAAAUACGGUAUAAGCACCACGCCUACACAAUAUCUAUCAUUUACCCAUGGAUCCGAUGGAUAAACGCUGUACGAUCCUAAGCAUGUAUAUAGAUCCAAUCUAACUAAGCCAAGUACAUAACUAUGAUAAACUAAGAACAAUAUAAUCUUAAAUAUAAGCAAGUAGAGCAAAGUCAUAAGCAAUAUAUUGAAGUAGAACAAAGUCAUAUUUAUAAUAUUGAAGAACAAAGAUAAUUAGAAGAACAAUUAGAAGCACAAUUAGAGAAUUACCAAGAAUCCUCUUGACAGAUCCGGAAACCAAUCGAAGAUUGACUCCUUCUAGUUCUAAUCCUAUGUAGCUAUGCUAAUCUAGAUGUCUAAUUGAUGUGGUGGCUCUAAUCUUGAUCAGAGGCUUCUUCUCCCUUGAGGAAUAAUGAUUUAGGGUUGAGAGACUCUCUCCUCCAGGGGCUAGGGGGUCUGGUUUUAUAGUCCCUUCAAGUGAAUAUGGGCCGUUGGAUCAAACCGACAUUGAUUGAACGGUUAUCCUUGAUCCUUUAGGUCGGUGGAGAUUGAUCCCAAAAGAGAGUCCUGAUUGGGCUCAGCAGGAGGGCGGGCGCCCAGGGCAACUAGGCGGGCGCCAAGUGCCUCGCCCCGUUCGGCCUCCGCUUCCUUCCCGUGGCUUCUGGAGUCUUCUAGAUGUAAGAUAAUUGCGUGGCACGUUGAUAUCUCUAUGUAAUCCUGACGUGUGGGCCUUUCUUCCUUAUUUCCUGAUAACCCCCUGCAGAAAUAGACAAACACCAAAACUCGUGGAAUUCUAUCAGAUAAAACCCUAAGUCUAGAUGUUGAUUUCAUUUGGAUCCUUUUCUUUGUUUAUUUGAUAAUUAAAUUUGAUACUUAAGGACCGUCAACAAACUUCCCCAAGCUUACCCCUUGCUCGUCCCUGAGCAAGGAUAGACUCAACGAUGGAUUCGAAGUUGUUGCAAUAUCUUUAAAAAUUGACGGUACACAUGCUUCUAAAUAAGGUCUUAUCUCUGAGUUAGAGUAAACUGUUAAGACUUAAAACUUACUUACUUUACCUUUCACCAUGGGACUUGUAACCGUCACUUCUGUCUUGAGUGGUUAAAAGAUAGAACAGUCUAGUCAAGUGUCAUGUCUCUUAUUCUUGAUCAGCUAUAGCUCUAGAGUUUUUGCAGAUUUUCAAAUAAAACUCAGAGAUUCCUUGUAUGAUUCUCUCAGAUCUCUCUUUUGUGGUAUUUCUGGAUCCUUACCAAGGCAGUGAUGGUAUAUGCCUUCUCUCAAAAAGUAUGUGGUAUUUGUGGUAUAAGGCAUAGUGACAUUGCCUUCUCUCUCAUCCUACUCUAAUGAGGCUUUAAUAUCUGGAGCUCAUAGGUGGGAGAUAAAAUAUACAUACUUACAAGACAUUUAUUGCAUAGUCAAACCAUGGAUCCAAAGAAACAAAUCAAUAAGUCAAAUCAAGAUGUGCAUGUGUGGCGGAUGAAUGGUGUAUGGUGAUGAUGGUGAUAACAAUUGUGAAAGUCUAAUUCUACUUUUGCUCUUUCAGGGGAUACAUACCUUCCUUGCUUUCUGAAACUUUAUGAGGAGAAUGAGAUGCUCUUCUUUUUCUUUCCUCUCAGGUGGGUAUCUUGUACCCCUAAUUCUACUGUCGAACACUUGUCCUUUUUUACCUCUCGUCUCACUUUUUUCUUUUUUCUUUCGAGGUUUCGGGCACUUGCCCCUUUUUAUUUCCUCGUAUUUUUUUCUCUUUUUUAGAGCACUCAUCUUUUGAGAUAAUAUAGCAAGUAGUAGUAACAAGAUAACUUGAGCAUUUAUUUCACAGGGAAAAACAGAAAUAUUUUUGGCUAUUCUGUCCCGGAUUAGGAGUAGAAUAUUUUUUGGGUGGUUCUGGAGAUGGAAAUGGAUGGAUAUAUAUGGAUGGUACUUCCGGAAUAGAAGUAGCAUGUUUGAGUGAAUGUGCAAGUGAAAUCUUGAUUUAACAACAUGACAAGCUCCUAAGGGUCUACACAGCUUGACAACACUCAAUGCUCAUAAGCAGUAAAUAGUAAAUGUGUGGCUCAAAGUCUAGCAAGCAUGUAUAUAUGGCUGUGGUAGGAAUUUAAACUCUCAUCAUACAGGAACUCAUCAUGCAACAUUUUAAAGAUUUUUAAAGAUAAAAUUCUCCAGAAUUCUAGCAUCUCUAGGAAUAGAUAAACAGCAGCUCAACCUUCCCACAUCAUAUCCGUUAACAACUUAGACUUCAGAUCAAGUUUUCAUCCCACAAGUUCAGAUUUAGAGCAUGCUUUAAAUUAUAACAGUUAUAUCUAAACUUGAGAGAGAACUUAAAAUUUGCAAAUUAGGCAGAGCAACUAUUCAUCAUAUCCAUGCUAGAGUUUUAUUUAGAUACAGAUUAGCAAAGCCACUUUAUUUAUUUAUUAAACACACUAAGCAAAAGGCAAAUAUAUAAGCAUAAAAUCUUUAUUUGUUUUUCCAUAAUUAUGUAUAUUUAUAUUUUAAUAUAGUAUAAGUAUAAAGAUAGAUAGAAAUACUUAUCGGGAUAAAUGGGGAUGCUCUCCCCCAAGCUGAAUUUUGACGUAAUUUUCCUUGAUGUAGCUAGCAGGUGGCAGAGGUGUAUUUGAAAGUCGGCAGCAUUCUCACAGCGAUUAGAGUGUCCUCCGUCUGCUAGUCUUUCUUGAUUUUUAAAUUUUGUGGAGCUCAAAUAGACAACAAAGCUUGUGGAACUGAUUAAGUGUUAGCAUAAAUAUCUAGCCUUUAUCAUGUUGAGACUCCUUAAUAAUUAUUGCUCCCAAAUUUUUUUAUAUUUUCAUUUUCUAAAGUAAAAAAGAAAUAUUUAUUUUAUUUUUAUGCCACCACAGUGAAUGUACAUAUGGGUAUUAUGCCACUCGUAUACACACAUGGGGCUUACUGUUUUUCAUAUUUUUAUUUUCUUUUUAAGAUAGUAUGAACAUAAUUAACUAAGUGAACUAUUUAAAUAAUUGAAACGGAAAGGAUAACUACUAAGUUUACCUCUUGGCAAGGCGUUCGGUGUUUUUAAGUCCUCCGAAUAGGACUCUCCAUUUUCUCAAUUGUCCUGGGAUUCAUUGGGUGGCGUAGUCGGUACUUCCGGCGGCGCCUCUUCUUCAUGUAUAGUUAUCUUCUCCUUCCAUACCUGACUCGGUGCUACGGUCUCCUCUGAAUAGUUCUGUUUAAACUCUACGUCUUCUGAUCUUAUCAGUUCUUCUUCGUAGUCUGCCCAUCCGUCCUUGAUGAUUUGCCUCCUCAGGUUGCGGUUGCGUCGUUUUCUUACCUGCUUAGAUUCUUCAAAGAUGUAGUUAGGGUCAGUAAAAUAACGGCGUACCUUCUCUGAGGUGAAGUGCAUAUGGACUUCUCCGAUUCCAAUGUAGAUAAUUGCUUUAACGGUGCUGAGGAACGGUCUUCUAAGGAUGAUGGGUGGAUCGUACUCAUCUUCUCCCAUGUCAAUAACCUGAAAGUCUGUGUAGACAAAAUGAUCGUCUAUUUUGACUGGAACAUCAGUAACUGUUCCUUUAACCUCUCGAAAUUUCUGAUCUGCCAUCUAGAGCUGAAUGUAUGUUGGUUUCAGGGGCAUGGUUCCGAACAAGAGCCGAUAGGUGACUGCGGCCAUUAUGUUGACGCCCGAUCCGGUGUCGCAAGUCGUCUUGUAGAAGUUGUAUCCAUUUAUGGAGCAAUAGAUGCUUGGCAUUCAUGGGUCGUCCUUCUUGGUCAAAAACGGUGAAUUAAGUUGAUGAUCUUGGUCUCCUUGAACUACAGUGACCAUCUUAGCUGACUCGGUCCACACUUGCUUGUUCCUGUUCCUCCUGUUGGUCCUCUUCCUUGAUUCACGUCUGGAUUGAUCUGGGAUUUGUGUAGCCUUGUUCUUGAAGGAAAACUUCUCCUUCUUCCGUUUGAUGUGGAAACUGAUCUUGGCAGCACUAGCGUAGAUGACAGCUCCCGAGGUGUUCAAGAAUGGCCUCCCUAAGAUGAUGGGUGCUCUCUCAUCAUUACCGGUCUCUAUCACCACGAAGUCGGCUAGGGCACACAAGGUACCAACUCGGACACAAAGGUUCUUCAAUAUUCCUUUUGGAAAACUUAAUGCCUGAUCUGCAAACUACAAACACAUGGUUGUCUCUAAUAAAGGAUAUGUAAAGAAUUUUUCAUAGAGUACCCUGGGUAUAAUGUUGACGCUGGAGCCAAAGUCACAGAGUGCUUCUGGAACGUCCACCAUGCCAAUGGAGAUCGGGAUGACGGGGCGUCCUGGAUCGCCUCUCUCGACUGGCAGAAGGUCAGUAGUGAAUUCAAUGACGGGGUUACUCCAAUUACCUGCAUCAAACAUGUCUACAAGAUUUGCAGAUUCUAAUCCUUCAGGUUGUGAUGGUAUACCGGGGUUAGUAGUAGGAACAGCAGCACCUAUUUGAUUUAACUGAGAUUCAAUCAUUUUAUUAAAGCUAAUUUGAUUCUUGAUGGCAGUAGAGAAAUUAUCCAUUCUAUUAUUUAUAUUUUCUAGCAUUUUAUCAUCAGAUGCCAAUUUCUUAGAUAGGUUAUCCAUUAGCUUUCCUUGAUUAGACACUAACUCUCUCAGAGGUGUAAAAUUAUUAUUAUUGUUGUAAGAAUUGUUACCUUGAUAAUUACCUGAGUAGUUAGGCCUCUGUUGAUUCCAACCUUGAUUUUGUUGAGGACGGUUGUAGUAGUUGUUGUUAUUGUUGAUGUAGUUCACAUUCUCAAGCAUCUUAGGGCAGUGAUUGCCUGAGUGUCCAGUGUCUCCACACUCCUCACAAGUCAUGUGAGAGUCGUAGAUGUGCAUAACUUCUUUCUUGUCUCCAGCUAUAUCAUCGAGCUUCUUCAUGAGCAGGUCUAGCUUUGCAGACAGCAUGUCUACCUCCUUGAGCUGAUGCAUACCUCCACCUCUCUUGCGUGUCUGGGUCCUCUCUUCAUUCCAGCCUUGAUUGGACGCCAUCUUCUCCACAAGAGUUGUGGCUUGUGAUAUGGUAAGUGAUAAGAAUGCUCCUCCAGCUGCAGCAUCCAUGGUUUCUCGGGCACUGUUGCCGAGCCCAUGAUAAAAUGUUUGCAUCAAUAGCCAACCCUCCAUUCCAUGAUGGGGACAUUCUAGGAUGUAGUCUUGGAAGCGCUCCCAUGCUUCUGGAACAGAUUCAUCAUUUUGUUGCUGAAAACUUGUAAUCUUCCCACGGAGAGCAUUGGUCUUGCCCAUAGGAAAGAACUUAGCCAGGAAGUUUGUUGAGCAGAGUGCCCACGUAGUAUUCUUCUCCUUUGUAGCGUAGAACCACUGCUUCGCUCUUCCUAACAGUGAGAAUGGGAAGAGGCGAAGUAGUAUAGCAUCUCUGGAGACUCUUGAUAUGGUGAAUGUGUUGCAAACCUCUAGGAAGUGUUGGAGAUGAGCACUAGCAUCUUCGUGUGCCUUCCCACAGAACUGGUUGGAUUGCACCAUGUUGAUAAGUCCAGGCUUGAGCUCAAAGUUGCCGUCGAUCUCUGCAGCAGGUCCAGUGCGGAUGUUGUCCGUAGUGGGAGCUGAGAACUCGCGGAUUGAUUUGUUCGCCAUGGCUUCGAACUCUGAAGACAAGUUCCGGUGAUCUUCUUGAUUGGAUGAAGCUUCUUGCUGAAGUGUUGAUGAUCUCUUCUUGAGCUUGGCUCUGGUUUUUCUGAAUAAUGCUUCGGGAUUGUCAACAAAAUUUCCUGGAAGAUGUCUUCUAUUCAUACAUUCCCCUGCAUAAGAUAAAAUAGAAAAUAUCGGGGUAAAACUGUAUGAGAGAAUAGAUAAACUCAAUCAUAUUAGUGAUGCGAAUGAUGACUCGAAAAUCAAUAUCCAUUCCUGAUUAGUAAUCAACCUUCCCCGGCAACGGCGCCAAAAAAUGCUUGUUGGGUAUUCUUAACAUCAUUACCAAAAGUAGACAGUUUUCUAAUUCUAGUAACGGUGCCAAAAAUACCAAACCUAUCCCUCAUACCACUUAAGCCAAGUUGUCAUCCCCAGCAUGACAUGAGAGACGCGGUAUUGAAAUAUGCAAUUGCUCUACUAAAUAAAUAAUGAAUGGGAUCUGCCAGCGCACAGAUUAAUACCGAUGUAGCAUUUUAACCGGGAAGUAUUCCACGUAUCGUUAUUUAUAUUUUUACCACUAGGAAGGGAUUAACAAUCAUCAACAUUGAUUACAGAAUAGAAUAUGAGAUUGAGUAUCUAUCAUUGCAUGUAUAAUUGAGAACAUUUAUCUAACUCUUUCAUACAGGGAUAAGUGUCACAUAAAAGAUAUAUGAAGUAAUGAAUAGUGACAAAGAUAAUUAAUCUGAUCAGCAUAACUAGCCACAUAAUAAAUAUGAUAAGCACCUCAAUUAGAUACUCUAGAAAGUCAUUAGCAUGGAAUUAGAACGAACUACAAGAAUAUUUCCUAAGUUAUUCUCAACUAUAUAGUCUAGCAUAUCAUAGUUAGUGCAAGCAUACUUAGCAAUCAUUGCGAGACAAGACUACGCCCAUGCAUAGUGAUAUUAGCAGGGUAAAUGAGAAACAUAGCAAUCACUCCCCUAUAAUAAUAUUGCUCUGCCAGCCCAAUACACGAGAGGGGGACUAUAUAAGAAUCAAUGAAGCUGUCACUAUCACGAACUACCCCACGAUCUGGCAUAUUGGGUACAAUUGCAGAUAAAUACGGUAUAAGCACCACGCCUACACAAUAUCUAUCAUUUACCCAUGGAUCCGAAGGACAAACGCUAUACGAUCCUAAGCAUGUAUAUAGAUCCAAUCUAACUAAGCCAAGUACUUAACUAUGAUAAACUAAGAACAAUAUAAUCUUGAAUAUAAGCAAGUAGAGAAAAGUCAUAAGCAAUAUAUUGAAGUAGAACAAAGUCAUAUUCAUAAUAUUGAAGAAUAAAGAUAAUUAGAAGAACAAUUAGAAGCACAAUUAGAGAAUUACCAAGAAUUCUCUUGAUAGAUCCGGAAACCAAUCGAAGAUUGACUCCUUCUAGUUCUAAUCCUAUGUAGCUAUGCUAAUCUAGAUGUCUAAUUGAUGUGGUGGCUCUAAUCUUGAUCAGAGGCUUCUUCUCCCUUAAGGAAUAAUGAAUUAGGGUUGAGAGGCUCUCUCCUCUAGGGGCUAGGGGGUCUGGUUUUAUAGUCCCUUCAAGUGAAUAUGGGCCGUGGGAUCAAACCGACAUUGAUUGAACGGUUAUCCUUGAUCCUUUAGGUCGGUGGAGAUUGAUCCCGAAAGAGAGUCCUGAUUGGGCUCAGCAGGAGGGCGGGCGCCCAGGGCAACUAGGCGGGAGCCCAGUGCCUGGCCCCCUUCGGCCUCCGCUUCCUUCUCGUGGCUUCUGGAGUCUUCUAGAUGUAACAUAAUUGCAUGGCACGUUGAUAUCUCUAUGUAAUCCCGACGUGUGGGCCUUUCUUCCUUAUUUCCUGAUAACCCCAUGCAGAAAUAGACAAACACCAAAACUCGUGGGAUUCUGUCAGAUAAAACCCUAAGUCUAGAUGUUGAUUUCAUUUGGAUCCUUUUCUUUGUUUAUUUGAUCAUUAGAUUUGAUACUUAAGGACCGUCAACAAGCGCACGAAUACCAUUGUAGCUUUUACCCGGUUAAAGGUUUUAUCGUAUCCACAGGAAAACGGGGGAACCAACUACGCUCUAACUUAACCAAGAUAGAUAGAUAAGUGUAAAUAGGAAAGAUGGUAGAAUUGAAUAAGAACAAUAUUAAAGGUAAGAUAACAAUGGUGAUAAUAUGGAAAUAGAGAUUAGAGCAAUCUAGUAUAUGGGCGAUGGUAGAGAAUAGAGAGAAUAACUAUGGUUUCUUUACUUCAAAGGGGUAUGUCUAUGUCUGGGAUGAACCACGUGAUAAGAAUACACCACAAAGGAUGCUUAUCCAUAGGCCGAUAAACCCUACCCAUCCUGCUAAUAGGAGGUGGACUACAGGGGACCAACGUAACUAUCACCUACGUGGCCUACCACAUGAUCCAGCUAGACAGGGGAUAUCCACAAGUAAUCUAGGUCUAAGCACCACGCUUACACCUAUACUACAACUCUAACCUAUAGGGUCCUAUAGAUUAUAAGUACUCAAAAGAGUUGUGAACCAGAACAUACAUGAUUAGUAAUUGCAUAAUGAAUUAGAAGUAGAUUACCAGAGUCAUCCCAUGAGCAAGCUUGAUUAGAGCUUGAUCAUGGCAAUGUACAACCGGAGGAAGAACCGACAGGCCGGCCUCUCCUCCAAUCCUCCCUCGCUCUCCAUCUCGCUACUAUCUAGGUCUACUCUAGUUUAGAGAUGAGACGAGAGCUCUCAUCUCCAAACCCUAGCUUUUGCUCUGUCUAUGAAUAAUGAAUAGGGAUCAAGGGGUUGCCUCCUCUAGGGAUCAAGGGAUCAAGGGGUUGCCCCCUCAAGUGAAUCUGGGCCGUCGGAUCAAACUGACAAUGAUUGAACGGUUAUUCUUGAUCCUUUAGGUCGGUGGAGCAUAAUCCUCGAAGCGAGUCCUGAUUGGACUCUGGGACAGGGCGGGCGCCCAAAGGGGGGAGGGCGGGCGCCCUGCCCCCGAGCCCGCUCGGCCUCCCGUUCGUUCCUGUGGCUUUUGGAGUCUUCUAGAUGAUAGAAAAUUGCGCGGCACGUUCAUAUCUCUAUGUAAACCCGACAUGUGGGCCUUUCCUCCAUAUUUCCUGAUAACCCCCUGCAUAAAUAGACAAACACCAAAACUUGUGGAAUUCUGUCAGAUAAAACCCUAAGUUUAGGUGUUGGUUGUAUUUGGAUCCUUUUCUUUAUUUAUUUGAUGAUUAUAUUUGGUACUUAAGGACCGUCAACAACUCCCCCAAGCUUACCUCUUGCUUGUCCCUGAGCAAGGAUGGACUCAGGAGUUUCUUCAGUGGUUUCAUGCCUUGAAGGUACACAUGCAUUCAAACAAGAUCUCAUCUCUAGGUUAGGGUAAACUGUUAAGAUUUAAACUUACUCAUAUUUCCUUCCACCAUGGGGCUUGCAACCGUCACUUGUGUCUUGAGCAGUUAAAGGAUAGAAUGGUCAAGUCAAGCGCCAUGUCUCUUGUUCUUGAUCAACUAUAGCUCUAGAGUUUUUUUUUGCAGAUUUUCAAAUAAAACUCAGAGAUUCCUUUUAUGACUCUCUCAAAUCUCUCUUUUGUGGUAUUUCUGGAUCCUUACCAAGGCAGUGAUGAUAUAUGCCUUCUCUCAAAGUAUGUAGUAUUUGUGGUAUGAGGCAUAGUGAUAUUGCCUUCUCUCUCAUCCUACUCUAAUGAGGCUUUGAUAUCUGGAGCUCAUAGGUGGGAGACAGCUAAUACAUACUUACAAGACAUGGAUCCAGAGAAACAAGUCAAUAAGUGAAAUCAAGAUGUGCAUGUGUGGCGAAUGAAUGGUGUAUGGUGAUGAUGGUGAUAAUGGUGAAAACAAUGGUGAAAGUCUAAUUCUACUUUUGCUCUUUUGAAGGGAUACAUACCUUUCUUGCACUUUGAAGCUUUUUGAGGGGAAUGAGAUGCUCUAUAUUUUCUUUUUCUUUUCUCUCAGGUGGGCAUCUUGUACCCCUAAUUCUACUAUCGGACACUUGUCCAUUUUUACCUCUCACCUCACUUCUCUUUUCUUCGAGGUUCCGGGCACUUGCCCCAUUUUAUUUCCUCGUAUUUUUUUUCAAAGCACUCACCCUCCUAGAAUAAUGUAGCAAGUGGUAGUAAACAAAAUAUCAAGAGCAUUUAUUUCACGGGGAAUAACAGGGAUAGGAUAAUGUAUUCUCUCUCGGAUAGGAGUAGAAUCAUUUUAGGUGAAUCUGGAGAUGGGAAUGAGUGGAUGUAUGUGGAUGCGUACUUCCAGAGUAGAAGUAGCAUGUAUGAGUGAACGUGCAAGUGAAUCUUGAUUUUAACCGCAUGACAAGUUCCUAAGGGUAUACAUAACUUGACCACACUCAAUGCUCAUAGUAGUAGUAAAUGUACGGUUCAUAGUCUAAUAAGCAUGUAUAUGUGGCUAUGGUAGGAUUUUAAACUCUCGUCAUACUGGAACUCAUCAUGCAACAUUUUAAAGAUUUUCAAAGAUAAAAUUCUCCAGAAUUCUAGCAUCUCUAGUAAUAGAUAAACAGCAGCUCAACCUUCCCAUAUCAUAUCCGUUAACGUCUUAGACUUUAGAUCAAGUACUCUUCCCACAAGUUCAGGUUUAGAGCAAAUCUUAAUUCAUAACAGUCAUGCCUAAACUUGAGAGAGAAUUCAAUUUUGAGAACUAGUCAUGGCAGAGCAACUAUUCAUCAUUUCCAUGUGAGAGCUUAUCAUGAGGGUUCAUAGCAAACUUUAUUUAUUUAUUUAUUUAGCAAACUAUGGAUAGAUAUAUAUAUAUAAGCAUAAAAUCUUUAUUUGGGUUUUUAUGAUUAUGCAUCUUUUUAUUAUUUGAGUAAAGUAUAAACGCGAGUAGAAACACUUAGCUGGAUAAAUGGGGGUGCUCUCCCCCAAGCUGGAUUUUGACGUAAUUUCUUUUGAUGUAGCUACUAGGUAGCGGAGGUGUAUUUGAAUGUCGGCAGCACCCUGACAGCGAUUAGAAUGUCCUCCAUCUGCUAGUCUUCUUUGAUCCUUGAAUUUUGUGGAGCUCAAACAAAGCUUUGUGGAACUGGUUAAGUGUUAGCAUAAAAUCUCUUCGCCUUUAUCAUGUCGAGCUUCCUCUAAUAAAUAUUACUCUCUUUGGUAGGAUCAUAAAUUUAUUUUUAUAUUUUCAUUUCUAUAGGACAGGAAUAUAUUUAUUUUAUUUUUUACGCCACCAUAGUGAAUGCACUUAUGGCUUUCAUGCUACAAGCAUACUCACAUGGGGCUUAGUAUUUUUAACAUUUUUAUUUUCUUUUCAGGAUAACAUGAUUAACUAAUAAGCUAUUUAAGGAAAGUAGGUAAUUAAAGGGAAAAGGGAAUGCAGAAAGGAUAAAUAUGGAUAACUACUGAUUUUACCUUUCGGCGAGGGUUCAAUGUUUUAAGUCUUCUAAACAAGACUUCUCACCGUGUUCAUUCUUCACGUGCGUCAUUUGAUUCAGGUGCGGACCUUGACGUCUGCACCUCUUGAUACGGUGUCUCCCAUGUUCUUCGUUUGCCCAGCAGUUUGAAGUGCGGCGUUGGCAGCAUCCUGCUCAGUGUGUUCGUGCUCGUAGAUCCAAGUCCUUCACUUGAUAGAGUCUGAGAGUUGUAAAACUCCACCAUGUUUUGCUCCAAGUGUACCUGCUCAUAGAGACAAGGCAGAGAUCAAGUGCAUGGGUCCUGUUGGUGGAAAAUGUUGAUAUUUGGUAACGCAAUUAGAAAAUGAUCCGCAAGCGCACGGAUAUCGGUGAGCAUUUCACCCGGGAGGUUUUCCAGAGUAUCGUAUUUAUAUUUUUACCACUGGGAGAAAGGGUGCAUCUGACUAACCAAAUCUAUUGCUAUUAUCCCUUUAGGCUACAAAGAAUGUCUCUCGAUGUGAGUGAUGUAUAGAGAAGACUGCAACUGUAGUCUCGUUCUAACCUUGGUAAGGAUGAUCUAUUGUUCUAUUGGGGAGGCUCACGGAAUCUAGACAACACAAAGGAUGUUCGACCCGCACCUAUAAACCUACCCGUCCUGCUAACGAGAUGUGAUCUACAAAGGUAGCUCGGAAAUGUCACAUUCCUCGCUACUACCACGGUCCAGCUAGUCAGGGGAUAUCUAUGAGUACCCUAGCCUAAACACCACGUUUACGCUAACAAGUGAUUACUCUAAUACUCAACCGGAAGAGGAUUAAAGUAAACUCAUAAACCAAAGAACAAUAAAACAAGAACUUACUAGUAUUAGAAGUCGAAUUACUGAAGAAUCUUAGAAGCAAGCCUCGGGUUAGGAGACUUGAUCCCGUAGGUACAACUCGGAGUAGACACCGACAGGCCGGCCUUCCUCCGAUCUACACCUUCACUCUAUCUCUCUCAAUCUAGUAGAAACUAGAUGAUCUAAUUCUACUUUACAUUGGUUGCUAAGCCUAAAAAGAAAUAUUAUUUAGAGAAGAGGUUUUCCUUCGAGGGCACCCCUCAAUCUCUAUGAUAAUUUCUUGUUUUCUCCAGGGCCAGAGGGGGUCUCCUUAUAUAGUCCUCCCCUUCUAUGCGUUUUUGGGUCGAUAGGCAAGGUGGUACUAUGUUAUUCUGGAUCCAAUAGGUCGGUGGAACGUUGUGUGCGAAGAGAGUCCUGUUUGGACCCGACAGGUGGGCGGGCGCCCAGGUCCUUAGGGCGGGCGCCCUGGGCCUGGCCCCGUUUCGCCUCCGCUUCGGUCUCGUGGCUUCUGGAGUCUUCUAGAUGGUAGAAAAUUGCGCAGUGUGUUGAUAUCUCUAUGUAAUCCAGACAUGUGGGCCUUUCUUCCUUAUUUCCUGAUAACCCCCUGCAGAAAUAGACAAACACCAAAACUCGUGGAAUUCUGUCAGAUAAAACCCUAAGUCUAGAUGUUGAUUUCAUUUGGAUCCUUUUCUUUGUUUAUUUGAUAAUUAAAUUUGAUACUUAAGGACCGUCAACAAACUCCCCCAAGCUUACCUCUUGCUCGUCCCUGAGCAAGGAUGAACUCAAGAGUUCCUGCAGUGGUUUCAUUUCUUAGAAGUACACACGCAUUUAAGCAAGAUCUCAUCUCUGAGUUAGAAUAAACUGUUUAGACUUAAAACUUACUUACUUUACCUAAACCAUAGGAUUUGUAACCGUCACUUCUGUCUUGAGUGGUUAAAAGAUAGAACAGUCUAGCCAAGUGCCAUGUCUCUUAUUCUUGAUCAGCUAUAGCUCUGGGGUUUUUUGCAGAUUUUCAAAUAAAACUCAAAGAUUCCUUGUAUGAUUCUCUCAGAUCUCUCUUUUGUGGUAUUUUUGGAUCCUUACCAAGGCAGUGAUGGUAUAUGCCUUCUCUCAAGAUAUGUAGUAUUUGUGGUAUGAAGCAUAGUGACAUUGUCUUCUCUCUCACCCUACUCUAAUAAGGCUUUAAUAUCUGGAGCUCAUAGGUGGGAGAUAAAGUAUACAUACUUACAAGACAUUUAUUGCAUAGUCAAACCAUGGAUCCAAAGAAACAAAUCAAUAAGCCAAAUCAAGAUGUGCAUGUGUGGCGAAUGAAUGGUGUAUGGUGAUGAUGGUGAUAACAAUGGUGAAAACAAUGGUGGUGGAAGUCUAAUUCUACUUUUGCUCUUUGAGGGGAUACAUACCUUCCUUGCUUUUGAAACUUUAUGAGGAGAAUGAGAUGCUCUUCUUUUUCUUUUCUCUCAGGUGGGUAUCUUGCACCCCUAAUUCUACUGUCGGACACUUGUCCAUUUUUACCUCUCGUCUCACUUUUUCUUUUCUUUCGAGGUUCCGAGCACUUGCUCCUUUUUAUUUCCUCGUAUAUAUAUAUAUAUAUUUUUUCUUCUUUUCUUUUUUUUUCUUCUCUCUUUUUUUUUAAGAGCACUCAUCUCUUGAGAUAAUAUAGCAAGUGGUAGUAACAAGAUAACUUGAGCAUUUAUUUCACAAGGGAAAGACAGAAAUAUUUUUGGUUAUUCUCUCCCGGAUUAAGAGUAGAAUAUUUUUGAGUGGUUCUGGAGAUAGAAAUGGAUGGAUAUAUGUGGAUGGUACUUCCGUAAUAGAAGUAGCAUAUAUGAGUGGACGUGCAAGUGAAAUCUUGAUUUAACCACAUGACAAGCUCCUAAGGGUCUACACAGCUUGACCACAUUCAAUGCUCAUAAGCAGUAAAUAGUAAAUGUGUGGCUCCAAGUCUAAUAAGCAUGUAUAUAUGGCUGUGGUAGGAAUUUAAACUCUCAUCAUACAGGAACUCAUCAUGCAACAUUUUAAAGAUUUUCAAAGAUAAAAUUCUCCAGAAUUCUAGCAUCUCUAGGAACAGAUAAACAGCAGCUCAACCUUCCCAUAUCGUAUCCGUUAACAACUUAGACUUCAGAUCAAGUUUUCAUCCCACAAGUUUAGAUCUAGAGCAAGCUUUAAAUUAUAACAGUUAUGUCUAAACUUGAGAGAGAACUUUAAAUUUGCAAAUUAGGCAGAGCAACUAUUCAUCAUAUCCAUGCUAGAGUUUUAUUAUUAAGAUUCAUAGCAAACUUUGUUUAUUUAUUUAUUUAUUUAUUUAGCAAACUAAGAAAAGAUAUAUAUAUAUAUAAGCAUAAAAUCUUUAUUUGGUUUUUUAUAGUUUAUGUAUUUUAAUAUUCUAAUAUAGUAUAAGUAUAAAGAUAGAUAGAAAUACUUAUCGAGAUAAAUGGGGGUGCUCUCCCCCAAGCUGAAUUUUGACGUAAUUUCUCUUGAUGUAGCUAGCAGGUGGCAAAGGUGUGUUUGAAAGUCAGCAGUAUUCUGACAGCGAUUAGAAUGUCCUCCGUCUGCUAGUCUUCUUGAUUCUUAAAUUCUGUGGAGCUCAAAUAGACAACAAAGCUUGUGGAACUGAUUAAGUGUUAGCAUAAAUAUCUAGCCUUUAUCAUGUUGAGACUCCUUAAUAAAUAUUAAUCCCUGUUUUUAUAUUUUUAUUUUUAUAAAGCAGAAAAAUAUUUAUUUUAUUUUUAUGCCACCACAGUGAAUGUACUUAUGGGUUUUAUGCCAUGAGCAUACUCACAUGGGGCUUACUAUUUUUUUAGCAUUUUUAUUUUCUUUUCAAGAUAGCAUGAACCUGAUUAACUAAGCAAACUAUAAUUGAAUAAUUGAAAGGAAAAGGAUAACUACCAAGUUUACCUCUUGGCAAGGCGUUCGGUGUUUUUAAGUCCUCCGAAUGGGACUCCUUGUGUUUUCAGUCGUCCUGGGAUUCGCUAGGUGGCGUAGUCGGUGAUUCCGGUGGUGCCUCCUCUUUGUGUAUAACUAUCUUUUCUUUCUGACUCGGUGCUACGGUCUCCUCAGGACAGUUCUGUUCAAGUUGUAUGUCUUCAGUCCUUAUCACUUCUCCUUCGUAGUCUACCCAUCCGUCCUUGAUGAUUUGCCUCCUCUGGUUGCGGUUGCGUUGUCUUCUUUUUGUCCUGACCUGCUUAGAAUCUUCAACUAUAUAGUUAGAAUCAUUAAAGUAGUGGCGUACCUUCUCAGAGGGGAAGUGCAUGUGGACUUCUCCGGUUCCAAUAUAGAUAAGGGCUUUGAUAGUGUUUAGGAACGGUCUUCCAAUGAUGGUGGGUGGAUCAUACUCGUCUUUUCCCAUGUCAAUGUCCUAAAAAUCAUCUGGAGCUGAAUGUAUCUUGGUUGUAGGAGCAUGGUUCCAUGCAGGAGCUGAUAAGUGACUGCGGCCAUUAUGUUGUCGUUAGAUCCGGUGUCAUAGAGUGUCUUCUGAAAAGAGUAUCUGUUGAUUGUGCAUUCGAUGCUUGGAACACCAGGGUCGUCCUUCUUGAUCAAGAAAGGUGACUUGAGUCGACUAUCUUGACCUCUUUGAACUGCAGUGACCAUCUUAGCUGACUCGGUCCACAUUUGCUUGUUCCUGUUCCUCCUGUUGGUCCUCUUCCUUGGUUCAUGUCGGGAUUGCUCUGAAAUUUGUGUAGUCUUGUUCUUGAAGGAAAGUCUCCUUCUUCCCCUUGAUGUAGAGACUGAUCUUGGUAGCAUUAGCGUAGAUGACAGCUCUGGUGUUUAGGAAUGGCCUCCCUAAGAUGAUGGGUGCUCUCUCCUCAGUACCAGUCUCUAUCACCACGAAGUUUGCUGGAGCGUACAAGGUACCACUCGGACACAGAGGUUCUUUAUCCUUUUGGUGCAUCAUUUGAUUAGGUGUGGACCUUGACAUCUGCACCUUUUGAUACGGUGUCACCCAUCUUCUUUGUUUGUCCAGUAGUUCGAAGUGCGGUGUUGGCAAUAUCCUGCUCAGUGUGUUUGUGCUCGUAGAUCCAGGUCCUUCACUUGGUGAAGUCUGGGAGUUGUAAAACUCCUCCAUGUUUUGCUUGAAGUGUACCUGUUUAUAGAGACAAGGCAGAGAUCAAGUGCAUGGGCCCUGUUAGUGGAAAACACCAACAGAACCAAAAGUGUAUUUGUUCUUCUCUAACCUUAAACAUAGUGAGCAAGACAAAGUUGAUGGAUCAUGAGUGUAGCAUUUAAAACAUUUGUUAGAUCAGAUGGCUCAACCUAAUGGAAAGAUAAUCUAUCUAUAUUUAUGUUUUGUUUAUAUCUUCCAAAGAUUUAAAUGUGCAAUACUUUAGCUUAUAUGAUUAGGAGUAUGGGAUCACGAAGGUAGUACUAAGAACAAAGAUUAAAGGACUAAACAUGCUGAAUCAGUUAGAUUGGUUAAUUUAGAGUUAUACAUGUUUGUCUCUUUAUUUAUGUGAACGCUAGAACCAAGGAGAAGCUUAUAAAAGUGAUAGUCAAGUACCUUAAAAUAUUACCUUACUUGAAGAGUGACGGUACAGCAUUACCUUGUGGAAGCUUUCCUUUCUUAGUGGUUGUGCAUCGUGUUUGUGGUACUCUUUGUCUUGUUCCAUGGAUCAUCUCUCUAUGACGAAUGAGCUAUGUCUUCCUUGUGCAAAUCGUUAAACCUCAUGUGUCACUUUCUUCAUCUCCAAUGUGAGUUUAUCUCAGGACUUCCCAGGUUGAUAUUGAAAGUUCUCCUGCAGGGGUUAGUCCCACAAAAUAUACCAAUAUCUACUCAAGCAGUUUUUAGUUCAGUAACCAAACUAGACUCCAUGUCUAAUCAGAUUAAGGAAGGCUAUUUAACCUAAGCACCACGCUUAAUUUAAAUGCCAAUGGAAGUAUGUCGAGUACUUCCAAACCAACACUUACUAGGAUAAACAAAGGUAGCAUGAUGGCAUUUAUAGAGAUCUACUCAAGUGCAGAUGAAGUAGUGUGAUUAGUAUUUAACAAAUUGAGCAUGUCUCAAAGGUAAGGACAACCAACAUAGCAACAUGGCAAAGGAUGUUUUUAUGUAAAGUACUCCCCUAAGCUUGAAUUUUGCGAAAUUCAAGUUUGGAUGAAUUUAAUUCAAUGUUGCAUGAUGAUUGGUUGGACAUACCUUGUGCUUGUCAUUCAUCUGAUCUUCUUGCUCCAAUCCUGGAAAGGUUAGUGGCAAGAAUACCCGAAGAAAUAUUUCUACAAUUAUCUCAUAUGCUCAAUACACAAGGCAAUGUUGCAAAUAAUUAGAAGUUCAUGUUACGAUCUGAUAAGUGCUUGUUUAAGGAUGCUAAGCUUAUCCUUGGGAAACCAUUAAUUUAUGUCGGCGAAGUGGUUUCCCCUCCAACGCUGACCUAUAUCAAGAUCAACUCAACGAGAUCUGCAAUAUUUAUUAUAGACAUAUGCAUCGACAACCGCCCUUUUAAAGUUUUUAUAAAUAAAAAGGAAGAGGGGGUUGGAGAUCUCAAAUGUGGUGAUGAUGGAGAGACCGAUUGAUUGGGGAGAUGUUUUAUAUGAGCAAGGACUUGGUAAGGUAUUUAUGAAAUAACUUCCAUGCUCACUGUUGUUUCUCUCAUUCUCAAACUCCAAGGAUGAUUCUUCAUGAAUGCUUAAAAUUCCUCUAGGAUUGUCUCUCAAGUUCGUUUUAUCUAUCCAUUCAAUGGUGAUAGCACAUGGAUUUUUAAUGCCCUCUAACCAUCGAUGUUGCUCUUCUCGAUCCUCCUUCUUAUGCAUGGGACGUCUAGAGAGAUUCAUGGGAUUAUCGGGAGGUUCAAGAGAAAGAGCAUAGUAGAAAUUAUUAAUCUCAAGGAUGGGUUGGAUAGCCGAAUUAUGGGAUUGAAAUGUUUGGAAAUCGGCUAUUGAAACUUCCUUUCCUCUUCUAGGAGAUGAUUCCUUCUCUAUCUCUAGGAUAUUUUUAUGAAGACUAGUACAAGAAGGAUGUCCACAAAUGAAGACAUACCUUCCUUUACUAAUAGAUAAAGAAAGAAGGACUCUACCAAAGGUUAUAUGAUUAAGACCAAUGUGAAAAUAUCUAGGAAAAACAUGGUCUUGUAGGGCUAGGUCUAAACCAGAAUUUAUAGAAAGAUUAAUAGAUUCCCUAGGUGUAGCUAAAAGUGCAUUAUCUUCUUGAUUAAAAGAUAGGACCUCGGCUAUAGAAAAGGGUUGGUUUUGACCUAUUGCAAUCAACUCCGGACACAGAUUAUAAUUAGGGGCAGGACAUGUUGACUCCCAUGGUCUAUGGCUGGUCUCCGAAGGUGCAAAGAAUUCAAUAAUAGGUAUGGAAUUUGAGUUAUCCAUAAAGAUAAAAAUAAAUAGAUAAAAGAAUAAAAGUAUAAAAGUAUAAUACAAGAUAAUAGCAAGAUUCAAAGUUAUCUCAGCAAACCGUCUUUCUCCCCGGCAACGGCGCCAGAAAUGCUUGUUGAUAUUUGGUAACGCAAUUAGAAAAUGAUCCGCAAGCGCACGGAUAUCGGUGAGCAUUUCACCCGGGAGGUUUUCCAGAGUAUAGUAUUUAUAUUUUUACCACUGGGAGAAAGGGUGCAUCUGACUAACCAAAUCUAUUGCUAUUAUCCCUUUAGGCUACAAAGAAUGUCUCUCGAUGUGAGUGAUGUAUAGAGAAGACUGCAACCGUAGUCUCGUUCUAACCUUGGUAAGGAUGAUCUAUUGUUCUAUUGGGGAGGCUCACGGAAUCUAGACAACACAAAGGAUGUUCGACCCGCACCUAUAAACCUACCCGUCCUGCUAACGAGAUGUGAUCUACAAAGGUAGCUCGGAAAUGUCACGUUCCUCGCUACUACCACGGUCCAGCUAGUCAGGGGAUAUCUAUGAGUACCCUAGCCUAAACACCACGUUUACGCUAACAAGUGAUUACUCUAAUACUCAACCGGAAGAGGAUUAAAGUAAACUCAUAAACCAAAGAACAAUAAAACAAGAACUUACUAGUAUUAGAAGUCGAAUUACUGAAGAAUCUUAGAAGCAAGCCUCGGGUUAGGAGACUUGAUCCCGUAGGUACAACUCGGAGUAGACACCGACAGGCCGGCCUUCCUCCGAUCUACACCUUCACUCUAUCUCUCUCAAUCUAGUGAAACUAGAAGAUCUAUUUCUACUUUACAUUGGUUGCUAAGCCUAAAAAGAAAUAUUAUUUAGAGAAGAGGUUUUCCUUCGAGGGCACCCCUCAAUCUCUAUGAUAAUUUCUUGUUUUCUCCAGGGCCAGAGGGGGUCUCCUUAUAUAGUCCUCCCCUUCUAUGCGUUUUUGGGUCGAUAGGCGAGGUGGUACUAUGUUAUUCUGGAUCCAAUAGGUCGGUGGAACGUCGUGUGCGAAGAGAGUCCUGUUUGGACCCGACAGGUGGGCGGGCGCCCAGGUCCUUAGGGCGGGCGCCCUGGGCCUGGCCCCGUUUCGCCUCCGCUUCGGUCUCGUGGCUUCUGGAGUCUUCUAGAUGGUAGAAAAUUGCGCGGUGUGUUGAUAUCUCUAUGUAAUCCCGACAUGUGGGCCUUUCUUCCUUAUUUCCUGAUAACCCCCUGCAGAAAUAGACAAACACCAAAACUCAUGGAAUUCUGUCAGAUAAAACCCUAAGUCUAGAUGUUGAUUUCAUUUGGAUCCUUUUCUUUGUUUAUUUGAUAAUUAAAUUUGAUACUUAAGGACCGUCAACAGAAAACACCAACAGUACCAAAAGUAUAUUUAUUAUUCUCUAUCCUUAAGCAUAGGGAGCAAGACAAAGUUGAUGGGUGAUAAGUUCGUGAGUGUAACAUUUAAAACAUUUGUCAGAUCAGAUCGCUUCAACCUUAUGGAAAGAUAAUCUAUCUAUGUAUAUGUCUUUUUAUUUAUAUCUCUCAAAGAUUGAAUGUGUAACAUUUUGGCUCAUAUGAUUAGGAGUGUGGGAUCAUGGAGGUAGUACUAGGAACAAAGAUUAAAGGACUAAACAUACUGAAUCAGUUGGGUUGGUUAAUUUGGAGUUAUAAAUCAUACAUGUUUGUCUCUUUAUUUAUGUGAGCGCCAGAACCAAGGAGAAGCUUAUAAAAGUGAUAAUCAGAUAUCUUAAGAUGUUACCUUAAUUGAAGAGUGAUGGUACCAUCUCACCUUAUGGAAGCUUCCCAUUCUUAGUGGUUGUGUAUCUUGUUUAUGUACUUUGUCUCCUUCCAUGGAUCAUCUCUCUAUGAUGAAUGAGCUAUGUCCUUCUUGUGCAAAUUGUUAAACUUCAUGUGUCCCUCUCCUUGUCUCCAAUGUGAGUUUAUCUUAGGACUUCCCAGGUUGAUAUUGAAAGUUUUCCUGCAGGGGUUAGUCCGACAAAAUAUACCAAUAUCUACUCAAGCAGUUUUUAGUUCAAUAACCAAACUAGACUCCAUGUCUAAUCAGAUUAAGGAAGGCUGUUUAACCCAAGCACCAUGCUUAAUUUAAAAGCCAAUAGAAGUAUGUGCAGUACUUCCAAACUAAAACUUACUAGGAUCAACAAAGGUAGCGUGAUGGCAUUUAUAGAUCUACUCAAGUGGAGAUGAAGUAGUGUGAUUAGUAUUUAACAAAUUGAGCGUGUCUCAAAGGUAGGGACAACCAACAUAGCAACAUGACAAAGGAUGUUUUUAUGUAAAGUACUCCCCCAAGCUUGAAUUUUUCAAAAUUCAAGUUUGGAUUUAAUUCAAUGUUAUAUGAUGAUUGGUUGGACAUACCUUGUGCUUGUCAUUCAUCCAAUCUUCUUGCUCCAAUCCUGGAAAGGUUAGUGGCAAGAAUACCCGAAGGAAUAUUUUUACAAUUAUCCUUAUAUGCUCAAUACACAAGGUAAUAUUGUAAAUAAUUAAAAACUCAUGUCACGAUAUGAUCAGUGCUUAUUUUAGAACACUAAGCUUGUCCUUGGGAAACUAUCAAUUUAUAUCGGCGAAGUGGUUUCCUCUCCAACGCUGACCUAUAUCAAGAUCAACUCAACUGGAUUAAUGUACCUAUAUCAAGAGAAAGAAAUCAUGUUUGAAUGCUUAAGCAGCAUCAAGGUCCCAUCUGGAUUCUCCUCUAAUAUAAAAGGUAUAAUUAAUGUGCCUGAGAAGAAAUUUCUGAACUUAAAGUCACAUGACUGCCAUGUGCUUAUGACGCAAUUGCUUCCAGUUGCAUUAAGAGGAAUUCUACCUUCACAUGUACGUCUGGCCACCGUAAAGCUAUGUGCAUUCCUCAAUGCAAUUUCUCAGAAGGCAAUCAAUCCACUAGAACUAGCUGCUCUACAGAAUGAUGUGGUUCAAUGUCUUGUCAGCUUUGAGUUAGUGUUCCCUCCAUCCUUCUUUGAUAUCAUGACACACCUCCUAGUUCAUCUGGUCAAGGAGAUCAAUAUUCUGGGUCCUGUGUCCUACAUAAUAUGUUUCCCUUUGAGAGGUUUAUGGGAGUUCUAAAGAAAUAUGUUCACCAACGUGCUCGGCUAGAAGGAAGCAUCGCCGAGGGCUAUGGGAUAGAGGAGGUCAUUGAGUUUUGUGUUGAAUUCAUUCCUGAACUUGACCCAAUUGGUGUUCCUGAAUCGCGCCACGAGGGGAGACUGAGUGGAAAGGGAACACUAGGAAAGAAAACAUACAUCGGUACGGGGGACGAUUCUUUCAAUAAAGCACACUACACAGUUCUUCAAAACUCAUCCGUGGAGGAGCCGUAUGUCACGAAACACAAGGACUUCCUAGGAUCGCAAUUCCCAGAGAAGAAUGAAGCUUGGUUUAUGCGUCAGCACAUAGACACUUUCAGUGAUUGGUUACGAAAAGAAUGUCAGGGUAAUGACCAGAUUGAUGAGCAACUGUAUUUGUUGGCUAGGCAACCAUCAUGGCACAUCCUCACGUACAAAGGGUACGAGAUAAAUGGAAAUACAUUUUACACCCUAGGCCAAGAUAAAAGAAGCACGAACCAAAAUAGUGGAGUUCGCGUAGACGCCAUAGACCCGAAUGGAAACAAACAAACAUAUUAUGGUCGUAUAGAGGAGAUUUGGGAACUAGACUAUGCACCUAAUUUUAAAAUCCCUUUGUUCCGGUGCCAAUGGGUGAAGGUUACCGGAGGCGGGGUGACAGUUGACAAAGACUAUGGAAUGACAACACUGGACCUCAACAAUGUUGGUUACAAAGAUGAACCAUUCGUCCUUGCAGCUGAUGUGAAUCAGGUGUUCUAUGUAAAAGACAUGUCUACAAAACAGAAGAGAGGGAAAAAUGAUAACAAAUCAACAAACGAGCCAAAACGCCAUAUAGUUCUCUCAGGGAAAAGAAACAUUGUGGGAAUUGAGGACAAGUCAGAUAUUUCAGAAGAUUAUGAAAGGAAUGACCGAAUCACGCCUUUCAAUGUGACCAAAGAUCCGAGCAUACUGAUAAAUGCUGAGGACACUCCAUGGUUACGUCAAGAUCAUGACCAAGGAACAUACGUCAAAAAGAAGAUCACUAUUGUGCCCGCAUAAUAAAUAGAUUGCAAUAUAGUAUGUGUAUGUGACAAUUGUAACUUAAGAUGUUUAUAUUAGUUUUUCUUAUUUUAUAUCAUUUCAAAUAAAGAAAUGACAUUUAAGUUUUCCAUUUGGAUAAAUUUGAGCCAAUCCUAAGCACAUUUGUUCAAAAUCCAAGACGGGUAUUGGUCAAACUUGGUCAAAUGACAAACUAAAUUACUUAAAAUGAAAAAAAUUUGAAUACCAAGUUGUUAGAUAUCAUCAAGAUCUAAACUUUUUAUAUAGACAAUUUUUCCAUUUGAGAAAGUUUAAGUUCACAAUACCCACCAAUUCUUGAAUCUCACACAAACUAUAUGAAACUACAUGUGUCAAUUGUGGAUUUUGAACUACACCUUCGCAACACUUUGUCAAAUACAAAAAUGGUCUAUAUAUUAAAUGUAGAUUUUGAUGAGUGGAACAAUAUUAGUAUUCAUGACUUUUCUGUUCGAGACCAUCUAGGGUUCCGAAAACCGAUGCGUGUCUAUGAAUUCUAUCAAAAUUCAAAAUUGAGUGGUUCAAACUUUUCCAAAAGAAAAGUUGACCAUUAGACAAAAUGUAGAACUUGAUGAGUGCAACAAAUUUUGUAUUCAUUACUUUUCCAUUUGGGACCAUAUAGGGUUCGGUCAAAGUGUGUGUUUCUAAAAGCCAAUGCUUUGACUUUGGUCAAACUUGGUCAAAUGACCCAUUUGAUGACUUGAAAUGAAAAAAAUUUGAAUACAAAGUUGUUAGAGAUCAUCAAGAUCUACAUUUGAUAUAUGUUGGGUAUUUUAAACGCAAACAGAAAAAUCCGCAAGCGCACGGAUACCGAUGUAGCUUUCACCCGGGAGUAUUCGAGAGUAUCGAUUUUCCACAGAGAACGUGAGUGUACUAAUUAAGAUCCAAGAUCGCCCAAGGAUAACUAUAUAAUUAUUUUUGGUGGGAAGAGAGGAAGUUUCCUGAGAGUUCUCUAGUUGAUCUAAGAAUCAAGAAUUACUUCAAGAUUUAUCUAUUUCGGGACAUCAGAGCACUAACCACAGAAAGAGAUGAGAAGGGGGCUAGGAAGGUCUGACUACGGUCCUACAAACACCGAUCCGAACGAGGUGGAAUACGUCGACCGUUAGGGCUGUCACUACCCUAAGGCUACCACAACAAUCCGCAGGAUUGAGUGCAAUUCCAGGUAAUUGCAAGACUAAACACCAUGUCUAAUCUAUUAAUUACUACUCUAAUGUUGCAAAGAUUAGAGUACUUGAUGCAAGCGGGAAUCCAAUAAAUAACUUGAAUGUAAAUAAAAGUAAUUAAAGAACUCAGGAUUAUGAAUUGAAGAACCUGGAGAACGAUGAAGAACGAACCAGUUGCUGCAAAAGUACAAUGAUGAGGAAGAUCCGACAGAUCCGGCUCCUCCUCCGCUCUCCUCUUCUCUCUCCCUAUUUUUUAGAUUACAACUAGAACUAACUAGAACUAGAACUAGAGGAACUAGAACUAGAACUAGAUGAACUAGAACUAGAUCUAGAUGAACUAGAGGUAGAACUAGAAGAACUAGAGGGAUCCUCUCUACUUGGAUGAAGAAUUGAAACCCUAACUUUGAUUCUGUAGAAGAGGUAUGAUCUCCAGGGGCCAGGGGGGUCUGGUUUUAUAGUCCCUUCAAGUGAAUCUGGGCCGUCGGAUCAAACCGACAUUGAUCGUGUGGUUUUCCUUGAAGUAUUAGGUCGGUGGAGCAUGAUCCCCGAGCUUCGCCCUGAUUGGUCCAGGGGGGAGGGCGGGCGCCCAGUAAGGGAGGGCGGGCGCCCAGUGCCCGGCUCCGUUACGUCUCCCGUUCGCUCCUGUGGUUUCUGGAGUCUUCUAGAUGAUAGAAAAUUGCGCGGCACGUUAAUAUCUCUAUGUAAACCCGACGUGUGGGCCUUUCUUCCGUAUUUCCUGAUAACCCCCUGCAGAAAUAGACAAACACCAAAACUCGUGGAAUUCUAUCAGAUAAAACCCUAAGUCUAGGUGUUGGUUGCGUUUGGAUCCUUUUCCAUGAUUAGUUGAUGGUUAAAUGUGAGAAUUAAGGACCGUCAACAAGCUCUCCCAAGCUUAACCUUUGCUCGUCCCUGAGCAAAGCUAAAAUCAGCAAGAAAUCAGGGGUUACUUUUAUGCCUCUUACUACAGGGUUUUUAAGUUAUCACUAAGGUCUUAAGUGAUUGAAAAACAGAACGAUCAAGUCAAGCACUAUGUCUCAAGUUCUUCCGUCUUACCUUUGUUCUGGAGUUUGUAUAUGUUCCCAAGAUAAAACUGAGGUAUUUGCCUUCUUCUCGAAAGAUAUAUAAGUAGAGCUUUAAAAAAUUUUAGCAUACUUACUUUGCAAUUUGCUAUGUCAAUGCUCGGAGCAAGGGAGAGGAAUGUCAUACUCCUAGAUCAAGACCUUUGACCUUUUUGAAAAAGUUUGUCAUCUCUUAGUGGCAUAUUGCUUAUUAGAGGGACCAUGGGCUAUCAUUUUUUUCUUUCUUUUUUUUUCUUUUUUUUCAGUCUCUUUUUUUUUCAAGUGGGCAGCAAGUACCCCUAAUUCUACUGUCGGACACAUGUCCAUUUUUUCCACUCAGGUGGGUAUCUUUGUACCCCUAAUUCUACUUCGGACACUUGUCCAUUUUUACCUCUCAUCUCACUCUUUUUUUUCGAAUCAAAUUUUUGCAUAGUCCCAUGCCUCUAACGCAAUAAUACUUCGGAAGAGUGAAUCCUUUAUAUUUUUAAAACAAAAAGAUCUUGAUCUUGGGAGCAUGAUAAUUCUUUCAACCAAAACUACAAGAAUUAACAAUGGCUUGAACAAAGCAAGUGCCCACAGUUUUAAUAUUUAUAUCUUAUAAGACUCUCGGUAUUAUGAUCUCAUAUAUAUAUAUAUAUUUAUGAAUUUUUAGAUUUUCAAAAGAUAAAAUCUCCAGAACUCUAGCAAAACUUGGAACAAGUUAAAUAGUAGCUCAGACCUUCUCAUAUCAUGUUUGUCAAUUACCUAGACUUGAAUCAAACUUUCUUUUUAUUUUAUUUAAAACUUAGGAUUACACAAAACUAUUGUAUAUUACUCAAAAGAAAAACUUUGUUUGGUUUCAUGGUUAUGCAUUUUUUUUAAAUUUAUUUCUAAAUACUAGUAAAUAAAACCAAUAAAGGAAAGUAAUACUUAUCUAGAUACACGUGGGGUGCCUCCCCCAAGCUGGAUGUUGACAUAGUUGUUCACUCUGGUGGCCUGCAUGUUCGGUCUCACUCUUCUUAAGCCUCAAAAUCCUGCACAACCCAAAUAGACAACAAAACUUGUGGAGCAUAUUAAGGGUUAGGUAAUUGUCUAGAGCUUAUGAGAGCUUAAUAUGAGAAUUCUAUGAACUCAAUCACAUCAAGUUCCUCUACUAGGUUGUUUUGUGGCUCAAGAUAGAUUUUCAAGCGUUGACCAUUUACCUUAAAAGUGUUACCUAUGUCAUCUUGGAUGGUAAUGGCUCCAUGAGUUGAAGUGUCAAUAACUUUGUAUGGUCCAUCCCACUUACUUCGUAGCUUACCAUGCCCAAAGAGCUUAACUCUUGAAUUGAAUAGUAGAACCUUAUCUCCAGGCUUAAACUCCUUGUGCUUGAUUCUCUUAUCAUGCCAUCGUUUUGUUCUCUCUUUAUAGAUCCUUGAAUUGUGGUAGGCUUUCUCUCUCCAUUCUUCUAGCUCAGAUAGUUGCAUCAGACGAUUCUCGCUAGCGAGGUGGAGAUCCAUGUUCCAUUUCUUGAGUGCCCAAUGAGCCUUAAUCUCUACUUCCACAGGCAAGUGACACGUUUUUCCAUAUACAAGUUGAUAAGGUGACAUGCUUAUGGGUGUUUUGAAUGCAGUUCUAUAUGCCCAAAGUGCAUCAGGAAGUUUGUCCUUCCACCCCUUACCCAUCUCAUCUACGGUCUUUUGUAAAAUAUUUUUGAUUUGUUUGUUAGAUGUUUCGGCUUGACCGCUAGUCUGAGGAUGGUAUGGUGUUGCGACGUUGUGUCGAACUCCAUGGUCGGCUAGGUACUUCCGGAAGAUUUUGUCGAUGAAGUGGGAACCUCCAUCGCUUAUAACUAUCCGGGGUAUACCAAAGCGAGGAAAGAUAACUUCAUGGAACAUUCUCUU
This 36987-nucleotide long non-coding RNA is filed under the name Sorghum bicolor (sorghum). RNAcentral describes it as "long non-coding RNA (SBIC_LNC014076)". The stretch from base 15870 to 15976 matches the Rfam family "Plant small nucleolar RNA R71". The record is from RNAcentral. Lineage: Eukaryota; Viridiplantae; Streptophyta; Magnoliopsida; Poales; Poaceae.